This 465-nucleotide ribosomal RNA is filed under the name uncultured bacterium. RNAcentral describes it as "partial 16S ribosomal RNA". It matches the Rfam family "Bacterial small subunit ribosomal RNA", at positions 338 to 795 of the family's 1533-position model. The record is from RNAcentral.
CCUACGGGAGGCAGCAGUGGGGAAUUUUGCGCAAUGCUCGUAAGAGUGACGCAGCGACGCCGCGUGAAUGACGAAGGCCUUCGGGUCGUAAAGUUCUUUCGACAGGGAAGAAAAUGCCUAUAAGUAACUGUGUAUGUAUUGACGGUACCUGUAUAAGCAGCCCCGGCUAACUCCGUGCCAGCAGCCGCGGUAAUACGGAGGGGGCGAGCGUUGUUCGGAGUGACUGGGCGUAAAGAGCACGUAGGCGGUGUUGUAAGUCAUUAGUCAAAGACCAGAGCUCAACUUUAGUAAGGCUAGUGAUACUAUAAUACGAGAGUAUCAGAGAGGAUUGCAGAAUUCCUGGUGUAGCGGUGAAAUGCGUAGAUAUCAGGAGGAAUACCGUUAGCGAAGGCGGCAAUCUGGCUGGAAACUGACGCUGAGGUGCGAAAGCGUGGGGAGCAAACAGGAUUAGAUACCCCUGUAGUC